Non-coding RNA from Streptomyces variegatus, 363 nucleotides. NCBI's taxonomy places the organism in Bacteria, Bacillati, Actinomycetota, Actinomycetes, Kitasatosporales, Streptomycetaceae. The record is from Rfam.
UCGUGGAUCUCCCCGGGGCAGAUGAAGUGGACGUGGGUGUCCACACCACCCGCCGUGAGGAUCCGGCCGUUGCCGGAGAUGACCUCGGUGCUCGGGCCGACCACGAAGUUCGUCGCCGUCACCGGCAGCCGCUCGCCAGCCUGUUCACGAGCGGAUUUCUCGAACGCCGAGACCGGGUCCAUCGUCUCGGGGUUGUACGCCUUGCCGAUGGCAUGAACUUUGCCAUCUCUGAUGCCGACGUCGGCCUUGACCACACCCCACCAGUCGAGGAUCAGCGCCCCCGUGAUGACCGUGUCCACGGGAACGCGACCCUUGUUGCCGCCCCCGUCCCUCGGGAUGUGGGACAUGCCCAUCGACUCCCGG